CAGUAGCCGCGGGAAUACGUAGGGUGCGAGCGUUAAUCGGAAUUACUGGGCGUAAAGCGUGCGCAGGCGGUUCGUUAAGACAGAUGUGAAAUCCCCGGGCUUAACCUGGGAACUGCAUUUGUGACUGGCGAGCUAGAGUAUGGCAGAGGGGGGUAGAAUUCCACGUGUAGCAGUGAAAUGCGUAGAGAUGUGGAGGAAUACCGAUGGCGAAGGCAGCCCCCUGGGCCAAUACUGACGCUCAUGCACGAAAGCGUGGGGAGCAAACAGGAUUAGAGACCCCUGUAGUCCCUGUCUCUUAUCC
This 301-nucleotide ribosomal RNA is filed under the name uncultured bacterium. Its description in RNAcentral is "partial 16S ribosomal RNA". It matches the Rfam family "Bacterial small subunit ribosomal RNA", at positions 509 to 809 of the family's 1533-position model. The record is from RNAcentral.